Molecule: ribosomal RNA, 229 nt
Filed under: uncultured bacterium
Lineage: Bacteria
Description: partial 16S ribosomal RNA
Rfam family: Bacterial small subunit ribosomal RNA
Source: RNAcentral
GAUUGGCUCAGGAUGAACGCUAGCUACAGGCUUAACACAUGCAAGUCGAGGGGCAGCAUGGUCUUAGCUUGCUAAGGCUGAUGGCGACCGGCGCACGGGUGAGUAACACGUAUCCAACCUGCCGUCUACUCUUGGCCAGCCUUCUGAAAGGAAGAUUAAUCCAGGAUGGGAUCAUGAGUUCACAUGUCCGCAUGAUUAAAGGUAUUUUCCGGUAGACGAUGGGGAUGCG